This 351-nucleotide ribosomal RNA is filed under the name uncultured bacterium. Its description in RNAcentral is "partial 16S ribosomal RNA". It matches the Rfam family "Bacterial small subunit ribosomal RNA", at positions 338 to 681 of the family's 1533-position model. The record is from RNAcentral.
CCUACGGGAGGCAGCAGUGGGGAAUAUUGCGCAAUGGGCGAAAGCCUGACGCAGCGACGCCGCGUGAGGGAUGAAGGUCUUCGGAUCGUAAACCUCUGUCAGCAGGGAAGAACGGUCACGGGGCUAAGCAGCAGUGAAUUGACGGUACCGGCAAAGGAAGCACCGGCUAACUCCGUGCCAGCAGCCGCGGUAAUACGGAGGGGGUGAGCGUUAAUCGGAAUUACUGGGCGUAAAGCGCUCGUAGGCGGUAUGUCAAGUCAAGGGUGAAAUCCCCGCGCUCAACGUGGGAACUGCCUUUGAAUCUUGCAACCUGGCGUGUGUGCGAGGAUAGUGGACUUCCAGGUGUAGGCG